This is a non-coding RNA of Oryza nivara, 208 nucleotides long. The record is from Rfam. Lineage: Eukaryota; Viridiplantae; Streptophyta; Magnoliopsida; Poales; Poaceae.
AAUAAAUGCAGUUUUCCAUUGUUCAUAUUCAACAUUUGACCGUUCAUUUAUUUAAAAAUUUUAUAGAAUUAGUAUUUUUAUUUUUAUUAGAUGAUAAAAUAUGAAUAGUACUUUAUGUGUGACUAAUAUUUUUUAUUUUUUUUAUAAAUUUUUUUAAAUAAGACAGAUAGUCAAACGUUAGACACAGUUAUCCACGACUACACUUAUU